RNAcentral lists this unclassified non-coding RNA (430 nucleotides) under soil metagenome. RNAcentral's name for it is "partial contains 5.8S ribosomal RNA, internal transcribed spacer 2, and large subunit ribosomal RNA". The stretch from base 1 to 120 matches the Rfam family "5.8S ribosomal RNA", at positions 35 to 154 of the family's 154-position model. The record is from RNAcentral.
GAUGAAGAACGUAGCGAAUUGCGAUACGUAAUGUGAAUUGCAGAAUUCAGUGAAUCAUCGAAUCUUUGAACGCAUAUUGCGCUCUCUGGUAUUCCGGAGAGCAUGCUUGUUUGAGUAUCAGUAAACACCUCAACUCCCUUUUCUUUUUUGAAAUUGGAGCUGGACUUGAGUGAUCCCAACGCUUUCUUCCAAGAAAGUGGCGGGUUGCUUGAAAUGCAGGUGCAGCUGAACUUUUCUCUGAGCUAUAAGCAUAUCUAUUUAGUCUGCCUAAAAAACAGAUUAUUACCUUUGCUGCAGCUAACAUAAAGGAGACUAGUUCUUGUGCUGACUGAUGCAGGAUUCACAGAGACAGCUUCGGCUGACUUUGUAAACUCGAUCUCAAAUCAAGUAAGACUACCCGCUGAACUUAAGCAUAUCAAUAAGCGGAGGA